AUUGAACGCUGGCGGCAUGCCUCACACAUGCAAGUCGAACGGUAACAGGUCUUCGGAUGCUGACGAGUGGCGAACGGGUGAGUAAUACAUCGGAACGUGCCCGAUCGUGGGGGAUAACGAAGCGAAAGCUUUGCUAAUACCGCAUACGAUCUACGGAUGAAAGCAGGGGACCGCAAGGCCUUGCGCGAACGGAGCGGCCGAUGGCAGAUUAGGUAGUUGGUGGGAUAAAAGCUUACCAAGCCGACGAUCUGUAGCUGGUCUGAGAGGACGACCAGCCGCACUGGGACUGAGACACGGCCCAGACUCCUACGGGAGGCAGCAGUGGGGAAUUUUGGACAAUGGGCGAAAGCCUGAUCCAGCCAUGCCGCGUGCAGGAUGAAGGCCUUCGGGUUGUAAACUGCUUUUGUACGGAACGAAAAGACUCUGGUUAAUACCUGGGGUCCAUGACGGUACCGUAAGAAUAAGCACCGGCUAACUACGUGCCAGCCGCCGCCGUAA
Molecule: ribosomal RNA, 498 nt
Filed under: uncultured bacterium
Lineage: Bacteria
Description: partial 16S ribosomal RNA
Rfam family: Bacterial small subunit ribosomal RNA
Source: RNAcentral